CAAUAGCGUAUAUUAAAGUUGUUGCAGUUAAAAAGCUCGUAGUCGAACUCCUGUUUGGUACCGCAUCGGAGACAUACGUCAACUUUGCGGUCCAAGCAUUCUUCUACUCAGCAGUAGCAAUGCUGUUGCGGUAGAGCCUUUACUUUGAGAAAAUUAGAGUGUUUCAAGCAAGCGUCUGCUUUGAAUACUACAGCAUGGAAUAAUACAAUAGGACCUCGGGCCUAUUUGUUGGUUUCUGGCCUGAAGUAAUGAUUAAUAGGGACAGUUGGGGGCAUUCGUAUUGGAUAGUCAGCGGUGAAAUGCGUGGAUUUAUUCAAGACGAACUACUGCGAAAGCAUUUGCCAAAGAUGUUUUCAUUGA
RNAcentral lists this ribosomal RNA (360 nucleotides) under uncultured eukaryote. RNAcentral describes it as "partial 18S ribosomal RNA". It matches the Rfam family "Eukaryotic small subunit ribosomal RNA", at positions 592 to 976 of the family's 1831-position model. The record is from RNAcentral.